AUGACAAGUGUCCUGGUGAGGACAGCUCUCCACCUAGACACUAGAUGACUUGCUGUCUCACUGCAUUCAGGUCUGAGCUCAUCGAGGGUCGCCGCCUCAGAGAAGGCUUCCCUGACUACCCCACUGCCACUCUCUGUCCCCAUCUCCUGCAUACUUCUUCUCUGGGCUUGCUCAGGUCUAAUUAAUGAAUUGCCUGAUGGAUUGAUUGUUUUUCUCCACAACUAGACUUGUCAAUACCAUGGGGAGGAGGCUUGUUCAUCGCGGAAUCUCUGGCACAUUUGGAAAAACCGAGAAAUCAAAACCCACUUCCCAGCUUUGUUGGAAGGAUUGCGUGAGGUAACAUUUGGGAAACAUACGGUUCUUGACAUGUAGUAGACAUUCAAUAAAUGUUCAUUCAUUCCCUUUUCUUGUUUCCUCAGAAGACUCUUCUGUGCUUUGAACCCGUUUCCUGUUUGUAUUUACCCAACAAAUGAAAAGUGUGAUAAGUACUGCAUUCAACUUCAAAACCACACGGCGAUCUCAGCAUGCCAGCAAAUCCAGAGAAGGUUUUCAAGUUUGAGAUUUGCAGCAUCCCACGACUGGCGGGGACCGGGCGCAGCCCGUACAGUCCUUGCGGUCAGCGGAGACGUGAUAAACGAGAAGCGAGGUGUCUCUGUUCCCUUGGACCAAGGCUCCACCCUGAUGAUUUUCGCCGCGGAGGCUGUUAUUUUUAGCACUGCUUUCUUUCGUGUGUCUGUUUAAUCUGUGCACCGGGAUGGGACGUUAGGAAUUCUUGUGCUUCUAUCAGGCAUCAAGUUUGCCUGCUCUGUUUAUGCUGUUACCAGAGUAAAAUUAAUGAGCCGAGAGACUGGGCUCCUUCAGACUAUUUCGUCACCCACUUAGGGUCCUCAGGUUUGGGGGGCGCCGGGAACUCGCGGCCACCGACCACUUGGCCUCUGCACCUGCUCUGUCACUGACAGCCGCUGGAAACCAGGAAAGCCCCCU
RNAcentral lists this long non-coding RNA (984 nucleotides) under Felis catus (domestic cat). RNAcentral describes it as "lncRNA (ENSFCAG00000052882.1)". Lineage: Eukaryota; Metazoa; Chordata; Mammalia; Carnivora; Felidae. The record is from RNAcentral.